This 460-nucleotide ribosomal RNA is filed under the name uncultured bacterium. RNAcentral's name for it is "bacterial SSU rRNA". It matches the Rfam family "Bacterial small subunit ribosomal RNA", at positions 38 to 507 of the family's 1533-position model. The record is from RNAcentral.
GGCGGCGUGCCUAACACAUGCAAGUCGAACGGGAAAGCACUUUUCGGAGUGCGAGUAGAGUGGCGAACGGGUGAGUAACGCGUUGGUGACCUGCCCCGGAGAGGGGGAUAACAGCUUGAAAGGGCUGCUAAUACCCCAUGAUGUCUAAAGGGUUAGAGACCUAUAGACGAAAGGCUUCGGUCGCGUUCGGGAGGGCCUGCGUCCAUCAGCUAGUUGGUAGGGUAAUGGCCUACCAAGGCGAAGACGGGUAGGGACCUGAGACGGGUGACCCCCACAAUGGAACUGAAACACGGUCCAUACACCUACGGGUGGCAGCAGUAGGGAAUUAUUGCAACAAUGGGCGAAAGCCUGAUGCAGCAACGCCGCGUGCGCGAAGAAGGCCGUUCGGGUUAGUAAAGCGUCGUUUUCGGGGAGAAGAGAAAGGACGGUAUCCCCGGAAUAAGGAUCGGCUAACUACGUG